GAUGAACGCUGGUGGCGUGCCUAAUACAUGCAAGUCGAGCGAACAGACGAGGAGCUUGCUCCUCUGACGUUAGCGGCGGACGGGUGAGUAACACGUGGAUAACCUACCUAUAAGACUGGGAUAACUUCGGGAAACCGGAGCUAAUACCGGAUAAUAUAUUGAACCGCAUGGUUCAAUAGUGAAAGACGGUUUUGCUGUCACUUAUAGAUGGAUCCGCGCCGCAUUAGCUAGUUGGUAAGGUAACGGCUUACCAAGGCAACGAUGCGUAGCCGACCUGAGAGGGUGAUCGGCCACACUGGAACUGAGACACGGUCCAGACUCCUACGGGAGGCAGCAGUAGGGAAUCUUCCGCAAUGGGCGAAAGCCUGACGGAGCAACGCCGCGUGAGUGAUGAAGGUCUUCGGAUCGUAAAACUCUGUUAUUAGGGAAGAACAAAUGUGUAAGUAACUAUGCACGUCUUGACGGUACCUAAUCAGAAAGCCACGGCUAACUACGUG
Molecule: ribosomal RNA, 497 nt
Filed under: uncultured bacterium
Lineage: Bacteria
Description: partial 16S ribosomal RNA
Rfam family: Bacterial small subunit ribosomal RNA
Source: RNAcentral